This is a long non-coding RNA of Bos taurus (domestic cattle), 1564 nucleotides long. The record is from Ensembl. NCBI's taxonomy places the organism in Eukaryota, Metazoa, Chordata, Mammalia, Artiodactyla, Bovidae.
GAGCAAGGAUCACACCUGGAUAGCUCAAGCACCUGCCAUCCUCUCCGAUUUAAAGAUUAGGUGACCUUGUGAAAACUGAGCUAAAAUGUUGGCCUCAAGCUGGCUACACUUCGUCCUUUUCCUGACACCACUGGUUAUGUCCUGAGAUGUGGACUGUGUCGUGGCCUCUCCACACCUUCCAUGCACACUCUGUGGAGGACCAGGAAGGCUUAGAGCCCAAGGUACAGUCAGGAACAGGUUGGGGGCACUGGGCCAUGCUGGUCAGUGCUCUUCCUGCUUCUGUUGGUCCUCCUUGUGAAUUAAAAGGUCCCCAGGCCUUGCAAAUCCCAUCUUGGAGGGAGGCAGAUACAUUUUGUAUAAGAAAAAGAAACAAGAAAUAGGGAAAUCAAAUCGUCUGCUAUUGUCACGGUGGAGCAUGUCUACAACGAAUCUGCCUACACACUUCAUCGAUGGAGCCACAGCCACCGAACACUACAGAUGGAGCCAUUAGCACCCUACCACUGGCUAUUGUGAAAUUUGUUUUUUUUUUUUUUUGUAUCUUUGAGAUCCUGGGGCUAGACAUGCAUCUUCCACAAGGUUUUGCUUCGGGAAACCUUGUUUAUCCAGAUGCUCGUCUACCACUUGUGACAAUAGUAGAAAGGGAAAGUUUUCGAGGUGCCAGGCACUGUGCUAAAUGCUUUAGAAACAUUACCUGGCUUGAUUCUUACAACAACCCUAAAGGUAGGGACUACUGUCAUCAUUUUACAGAUGAGGAAAUGGAGGUUUAGAGAAGUUAAGACCCCUGGGAGAAGAAGCGGAGCAUGGAUUGGAAUCUAUAUGACUAACUCCAGAUCCCCGACCUUAACUACCAGGCCAUGUGAAAAAAAUGACUUUCUCCUGUACAGCUUUUAAGGAUAACUGUGUGAACAUGAUGGGCAGCUGUGUGGUGCUGCCGGCAGCCUUGAGGUGCAGGGGCCCUGCCUCCCACUCCAGGGCAGCCUGCUGAAGCCCAUGGUUCCCAGCUGCCUGUUGGCUGGCCUAGAAGCUGUGGCCCCACUCUGCGAUUCUGGGUCUUGGCUGGAAGUUUCAGAAGCACACGCAGCAGUGACUUCCUCCUUGCGGUGGCGACUGGAUCAGCAACUGCCAGGACAGUAAUGAGAUCCCCCAAGAACGGUUGCUGGCAGCCCACUACCGCUGUUGCUGGGGGCUGAGGGUUGAGUGGGUCUGAGUGCUUGCCUGUGAGCAAUUCAGAGCCCCAAGAGAUUCCCAAAGAAACUGCUGCUCUGAGGUUAUUCAUCUGAUGGGAAGACGCUGGUGAGAAAAGACAACAUUUCUGGGAGCCUGCUGGAGGAUAAAACCAACAUCUUGAUGACAGCAAAACAGAGAGAUGAAGACAACCUGAGUCCUUUACACCUUGAGUACACCUUAUACUACAGCUGGAACCCACUACUUCUAAUUCUCAUUAGUGAUACAGCUACAGUCCAUGAAGUCAAAAGGAGUUGGACACGUCUGAGCAACUCAUACCUAAGGCCUCAUGUGCUCUUGAGAUCUGGCCCUUACCCAGGACCCUGGAAUGUGUUAUCAU